This 497-nucleotide ribosomal RNA is filed under the name uncultured bacterium. Its description in RNAcentral is "partial 16S ribosomal RNA". It matches the Rfam family "Bacterial small subunit ribosomal RNA", at positions 28 to 507 of the family's 1533-position model. The record is from RNAcentral.
GAUGAACGCUGGCGGCGUGCCUAAUACAUGCAAGUCGAGCGAACGGACGAGAAGCUUGCUUUUCUGAUGUUAGCGGCGGACGGGUGAGUAACACGUGGAUAACCUACCUAUAAGACUGGGAUAACUUCGGGAAACCGGAGCUAAUACCGGAUAAUAUUUUGAACCGCAUGGUUCAAAAGUGAAAGACGGUCUUGCUGUCACUUAUAGAUGGAUCCGCGCUGCAUUAGCUAGUUGGUAAGGUAACGGCUUACCAAGGCAACGAUGCAUAGCCGACCUGAGAGGGUGAUCGGCCACACUGGAACUGAGACACGGUCCAGACUCCUACGGGAGGCAGCAGUAGGGAAUCUUCCGCAAUGGGCGAAAGCCUGACGGAGCAAAGCCGCGUGAGUGAUGAAGGUCUUCGGAUCGUAAAACUCUGUUAUUAGGGAAGAACAUAUGUGUAAGUAACUGUGCACAUCUUGACGGUACCUAAUCAGAAAGCCACGGCUAACUACGUG